AUACGGAGGAUGCAAGCGUUAUCCGGAUUUAUUGGGUUUAAAGGGUGCGUAGGCGGUUUGCUAAGCGGGAGGUGAAAUGCCGGCGCUCAACGUCGGAAGUGCCUCCCGAACUGGUGGACUUGAAUGACUCUGCCGUGGGAGGAAUGUGUAGUGUAGCGGUGAAAUGCUUAGAGAUUACACAGAACACCGAUUGCGAAGGCAUCUCACGAAGGGUUGAUUGACGCUGAGGCACGAAAGCGUGGGGAUCAAACAGGAGUAGAUGCCCUGGUAGUCCACGCAGUAAACGAUGAUGGCUAACCGCUGGGCUUAUCAGUUCAGUGGCCAAGCGAAAGCGAUAAGCCAUCCGCCUGGGGAGUACGACCGCAAGGUUGAAACUCAAAGGAAUUGGCGGGG
This 393-nucleotide ribosomal RNA is filed under the name uncultured bacterium. Its description in RNAcentral is "partial 16S ribosomal RNA". It matches the Rfam family "Bacterial small subunit ribosomal RNA", at positions 523 to 918 of the family's 1533-position model. The record is from RNAcentral.